CCUACGGGAGGCAGCAGUGAGGAAUAUUGGUCAAUGGACGAGAGUCUGAACCAGCCAAGUAGCGUGAAGGAUGACUGCCCUAUGGGUUGUAAACUUCUUUUAUAAAGGAAUAAAACGAGGCACGUGUGCCUUUUUGCAUGUACUUUAUGAAUAAGGAUCGGCUAACUCCGUGCCAGAAGCCGCGGUAAUACGGAGGAUCCGAGCGUUAUCCGGAUUUAUUGGGGUUAAAGGGAGCGUAGAUGGGUUGUUAAGUCAGUUGUGAAAGUUUGCGGCUCAACCGUAAAAUUGCAAUUGAUACUGGCAGUCUUGAGUACGGUUGAGGUAGGCGGAAUUCGUGGUGUAGCGGUGAAAUGCUUAGAUAUCACGCAGAACCCCGAUUGCGAAGGCAGCUUACUAAACUGUGACUGACAUUGAUGCUCGAAAGUGUGGGUAUCGAACAGGAUUAGAUACCCCGGUAGUC
RNAcentral lists this ribosomal RNA (460 nucleotides) under uncultured bacterium. Its description in RNAcentral is "partial 16S ribosomal RNA". It matches the Rfam family "Bacterial small subunit ribosomal RNA", at positions 338 to 795 of the family's 1533-position model. The record is from RNAcentral.